Molecule: ribosomal RNA, 255 nt
Filed under: uncultured bacterium
Lineage: Bacteria
Description: partial 16S ribosomal RNA
Rfam family: Bacterial small subunit ribosomal RNA
Source: RNAcentral
UGCUACCGGGCGACCGGAUGCGGAUCUUGAAAGCCUGUCCCAGUUCGGACUGGAGUCUGCAACCCGACUCCACGAAGUUGGAUUCGCUAGUAAUCGCGCAUCAGCCAUGGCGCGGUGAAUACGUUCCCGGGCCUUGUACACACCGCCCGUCACACCAUGAGAGUCUGUAACACCCAAAGCUGGUGGGAUAACCUUUAUAGGAGUCAGCCGUCUAAGGUAGGACAGAUGAUUAGGGUGAAGUCGUAACAAGGUAAC